RNAcentral lists this ribosomal RNA (478 nucleotides) under uncultured bacterium. RNAcentral's name for it is "bacterial SSU rRNA". It matches the Rfam family "Bacterial small subunit ribosomal RNA", at positions 28 to 514 of the family's 1533-position model. The record is from RNAcentral.
GACGAACGCUGGCGGCGUGCCUAACACAUGCAAGUCGAACGAGAUCCAUGGGAGCUUGCUCCCGGAAGAUCUAGUGGCGAACGGGUGAGUAACACGUGAGAAACCUGCCCUGGAGUGGGGAAUAACUCGGGGAAACUCGAGCUAAUACCGCAUACCCUCGGAUGGUCGCAUGGCCGACCGAGGAAAGAUUUAUCGCUCUAGGAGGGUCUCGCGGCCUAUCAGCUAGUUGGUGGGGUAACGGCCUACCAAGGCAACGACGGGUAGCUGGUUUGAGAGAACGAUCAGCCACACUGGGACUGAGACACGGCCCAGACUCCUACGGGAGGCAGCAGUGGGGAAUCUUGCGCAAUGGGCGAAAGCCUGACGCAGCAACGCCGCGUGCGGGAUGACGGCCUUCGUGGUUGUAAACCGCUUUCAGCAGGGACGGAAAAUAGACGGUACCUGCAGAAGAAGACCCCGGCUAACUACGUGCCAGCAG